RNAcentral lists this ribosomal RNA (253 nucleotides) under uncultured bacterium. RNAcentral's name for it is "partial 16S ribosomal RNA". It matches the Rfam family "Bacterial small subunit ribosomal RNA", at positions 524 to 776 of the family's 1533-position model. The record is from RNAcentral.
UACAGAGGGUGCGAGCGUUGUUCGGAAUUAUUGGGCGUAAAGCGCUGGUAGGUGGCUUGUUAAGUCGCGUGUGAAAGCUCCCGGCUCAACCGGGAAAGUGCGCGCGAAACUGGCGAGCUUGAGUGCCGGAGAGGGUCGCGGAAUUCCCAGUGUAGAGGUGAAAUUCGUAGAUAUUGGGAAGAACACCGGUGGCGAAGGCGGCGACCUGGUCCGAUACUGACGCUGAGGCGCGAAAGCGUGGGGAGCAAACAGG